GACGAACCGUGCGAACGUUGUUCGGAAUCACUGGGCUUAAAGGGCGCGUAGGCGGCCUGGUCAGUCAGGGGUGAAAUCUUUCGGCUUAACCGGAAAAGUGCCUUUGAUACUACCAGGCUUGAGGGAGAUAGGGGCGUGUGGAACUUCCAGUGGAGCGGUGAAAUGCGUUGAUAUUGGAAGGAACGCCGGUGGCGAAAGCGACACGCUGGGUCUCUUCUGACGCUGAGGCGCGAAAGCUAGGGGAGCGAACGGG
This 253-nucleotide unclassified non-coding RNA is filed under the name uncultured Planctomycetia bacterium. Its description in RNAcentral is "contains 16S-23S intergenic spacer region". It matches the Rfam family "Bacterial small subunit ribosomal RNA", at positions 524 to 776 of the family's 1533-position model. Lineage: Bacteria; Pseudomonadati; Planctomycetota; Planctomycetia. The record is from RNAcentral.